RNAcentral lists this ribosomal RNA (406 nucleotides) under uncultured bacterium. RNAcentral describes it as "bacterial SSU rRNA". It matches the Rfam family "Archaeal small subunit ribosomal RNA", at positions 339 to 747 of the family's 1478-position model. The record is from RNAcentral.
GCGCGAAGACUGCACAAUGCUGGAAACAGCGAUGCGGGGACUCCAAGUGCCGGCACUAAGUGCCGGCUGUUCCAUUGUCUAAAAAACAUAGGAAGUAAGGGCUGGGUAAGACGGGUGCCAGCCGCCGCGGUAAUACCUGCAGCCCGAGUGGUGGCCGUUAUUAUUGGGCCUAAAACGUCCGUAGCCGGCUGAGUAGAUGCCUGUGUAAAUCGAACGGCUCAACCGUUCGAAGUGCGGGUAGACCGCUCAGCUUGGGACCGGGAGAGUCACGAAGUACUCCGGGGGUAGAGGUGAAAUUCUGUAAUCCUCGGGGGACUACCGGUGGCGAAGGCGUCGUGAUAGAACGGCUCCGACGGUGAGGGACGAAGCCCUGGGGCGCAAACCGGAUUAGAUACCCGCGUAGUCC